GAAACCGAACAUAGCAUAUUAAAAUGUUGUUCUUGUUCUAAUUUUUUUUUUCUUGUUUUGUUAUUCAUUGUAGACAAAGUAUGUUGGAGGAGAGAGACAAGAAGAAGGAUUUGAGAUAUCAGAUUCAGGACUAAAUCAGAUGGAUAAAACACUCUGUGUUGGAGGGGCACGUAUCGCUUAUAGAAUCUGGGAGGUUGCAGGAGAUGAAACAUCCCAGAAUCACAUUCCAAGUGCUUGUAAAGACUCGGUAACAAUGUUAUUCAUGUUUGAUCUAACAAGUCGGUGUACUUUAAACAGUAUCGUCGGAUGGGAUCAAGAAUCAAGGAAAUGGAAUCAAGUACCCAUGCUUCG
Camellia sinensis is the source of this 351-nucleotide non-coding RNA. The record is from RefSeq and is a predicted model, not a curated record. Lineage: Eukaryota; Viridiplantae; Streptophyta; Magnoliopsida; Ericales; Theaceae.